Molecule: ribosomal RNA, 402 nt
Filed under: uncultured bacterium
Lineage: Bacteria
Description: bacterial SSU rRNA
Rfam family: Bacterial small subunit ribosomal RNA
Source: RNAcentral
UGAGGAAUCUUGCACAAUGGGGGCAACCCUGAUGCAGCGACGCCGCGUGAGCGAUGAAGCCCUUCGGGGCGUAAAGCUCUUUCGACCGGAACGAUAAUGACGGUAACGGGAGAAGAAGCUGCGGCUAACUACGUGCCAGCAGCCGCGGUAAUACGUAGGCAGCAAGCGUUGUUCGGAGUUACUGGGCGUAAAGAGUGCGUAGGCGGUUUUCUAAGUUCGGUGUGAAAUCUCCGGGCUUAACUGGGAGGGUGCGCCGAAGACUGGGAAGCUGGAGUGUGGGAAAGGCAGGCGGAAUUCCUGGUGUAGCGGUGAAAUGCGUAGAUAUCAGGAGGAACACCGGCGGUGUAGACGGCUUGCUAGACCAUAACUGACGCUGAGGCACGAAAGCGUGGGUAGCAAACA